GCAAACUAAGUUGGAUCUUAUUUAACUACCUUCAGCUUACAAAGCCCUUUUCUAGAAAGUCCUGGAAGAGAUUCUAGAAUUAGAACACUGUAAAGAAACCUAUCAACCCUACUUUAAUUUAUAGAUACAAUACCAAUCAAGCAGCACAUUCAACUAAAAAUACAAACGCGUAUGAUGACAAGACUAGAAAAAUUCCAUAAAAAUAGUCUAAAUAAUACCUAAAGAAAUGCAAGCCACAAACAAUUUGAAGCAUACACAAACCAUGUGAACAAGUAAAUUGAAUUAAGCUAACUAACAAGUAAAUAAAUCAAGUUCUCGCUGAGCAUAAGAGUAAUUGGCAAUAACAAAAUCCCAACUAACAUCAUACACAAAGCUAAACUAACUCAACUACAGAACACCUCAACUGCAUCAAUUGGACAGCCCGCAAAUGAGCUAUAACUCAUUUGCCUUGAAUAUUCUAGAGUGCUGUUCCAUGUGAAGUAUUUGAGAAAUAACAAUUAUCUGAUCUUAUCUUUGUCAAUUCUCAUAAAAUCUACCUUGUUCACCAUGUUUCCAAUGUUUCCUUCAAAACUGUAAUUGAUUUCUUUGUUUGCAAUGAUAAUGUUAUACAGCUAGAAGGCUCUUUCUAAACUAGUUUAACUGACUGACAGAAAGAGAUACAGUACAUUGAAUUUUCAGCCUGCAUUAAGCAGCGUCAGGUAGGAGAAAGUCCAGUUAAGGAUAGAAACAAAAUUAAGUCCUAUUACUAGUAAUGGUAUCAUCCCAGUUGUUGAAUGAAUGCAGUACCACUGAUUCUCCACUUCCUUUUUAUCGUCGUCCUAAAGGGUCGAAUUUAUACAUAUUAAUCCGUUACAACACCAAAUACAACAUUUAUCGUGAUUGGUUCUGCAUUGAUUUAAAAGGUAUCAAAUUCAACAGCAGCUGCCAGCAACAAUUUGAUGAUCAGUUUGGUAACCAAACAAAAUUUCUCAGCAAACCAUUGUUCAGUAUGCCACCUGAUAUGCUUCACCAUGUUACUUGUGUUGCCGUUGGCUCUAAGAUUUACUCUUUGGGUGGCUAUGACCGUACUACUUAUAUCUCUCACCCUAGAAUUUAUAACAAAGCCUAUGUUUACGACACAGCAGCACAUGACAACAACAACGUAAUCAAUUAACUUAAUUGAGUGAUCAGACCUGUAUUUCUCAUUGAGUGAUCAAUAAUAAUUCUACCUUAAUAAAAAAAAAAAAAAUAGAAUCUAUGAUGAUAUAAACAUAAUCUUAACAUCAACCAUACUAUAAAACUAACAUGAUUAACACCCUCAUAUACAAAUUUAAGUUUUGAAAAUUAUAAAAAUCAAAUAACUAACUUUCGCAACAAUGGAAUUCCUUCAAUAAAUUUCACAACUAUCAAACCAUUAGAAAACAUAAAAAAAUUACCUUUAUUUAAUCAGAAACAGGGCAACGAAACACGAAUUGCAAGAGAUAAAGUUGAUGACUUCGCCGAAGAAUCCAAUUGGAGAGGUGAAAAGGAGUUAAUAGAGAGAAAACUGCUUGUUUAACAAAGAAAAUUAGAGAGAUCGAUUUUGCUGAUCUGUAGAGAAGAUGAUGCAAAGAAGAUGCAAAGCUUGUUGGACUGGGCUUUACAAAUUUUUCUUAAAUAGGCCUAGGUAAGUCUGUAAUGGGUCGGGUCAUAUGUCUUUUUUCUUAUGUUUUUUGACAAUAUCAAUAAAUUUA
RNAcentral lists this long non-coding RNA (1712 nucleotides) under Aquilegia coerulea. Its description in RNAcentral is "long non-coding RNA (ACOE_LNC001062)". The record is from RNAcentral. Lineage: Eukaryota; Viridiplantae; Streptophyta; Magnoliopsida; Ranunculales; Ranunculaceae.